This 253-nucleotide ribosomal RNA is filed under the name uncultured bacterium. RNAcentral's name for it is "partial 16S ribosomal RNA". It matches the Rfam family "Bacterial small subunit ribosomal RNA", at positions 524 to 776 of the family's 1533-position model. The record is from RNAcentral.
UACGAAGGGGGCUAGCGUUGCUCGGAAUCACUGGGCGUAAAGCGCACGUAGGCGGAUUGCUAAGUCAGGGGUGAAAUCCUGGAGCUCAACUCCAGAACUGCCUUUGAUACUGGCGGUCUCGAGUCCGGGAGAGGUGAGUGGAACUGCGAGUGUAGAGGUGAAAUUCGUAGAUAUUCGCAAGAACACCAGUGGCGAAGGCGAGUCUCUGGACAUUUCCUGACGCUGAGGCACGAAAGCCAGGGGAGCAAACGGG